RNAcentral lists this ribosomal RNA (433 nucleotides) under uncultured bacterium. Its description in RNAcentral is "partial 16S ribosomal RNA". It matches the Rfam family "Bacterial small subunit ribosomal RNA", at positions 29 to 507 of the family's 1533-position model. The record is from RNAcentral.
AACGAACGCUGGCGGCAUGCCUAACACAUGCAAGUCGAACGAGACCUUCGGGUCUGGUGGCGCACGGGGGCGUAACGCGUGGGAACCUGCCCUUAGGUUCGGAAUAACUCCCCGAAAGGGGUGCUAAUACCGGAUAAUGUCUUCGGACCAAAGAUUUAUCGCCUUUGGAUGGGCCCGCGUUGGAUUAGCUAGUUGGUAGGGUAAAAGCCUACCAAGGCGACGAUCCAUAGCUGGUCUGAGAGGAUGAUCAGCCACACUGGGACUGAGACACGGCCCAGACUCCUACGGGAGGCAGCAGUGGGUAAUAUUGGACAAUGGGCGAAAGGCUGAUCCAGCACUGCCGCGUGAGUGAUGAAGGCCUUAGGGUUGUAAAGCUCUUUUACCCGGGAUGAUAAUGACAGUACCGGGAGAAUAAGCUCCGGCUAACUCCGUG